Long non-coding RNA from Haplochromis burtoni (Burton's mouthbrooder), 1288 nucleotides. RefSeq lists it as uncharacterized. The record is from RefSeq and is a predicted model, not a curated record. The transcript has 3 exons. NCBI's taxonomy places the organism in Eukaryota, Metazoa, Chordata, Actinopteri, Cichliformes, Cichlidae.
ACACUUUUUAAAACUGUAGAAUCAUCAAUUUUUAUUUAAGUUGCAGCUAGCUGCAGCUUAGCAGCACAUCAGCUGUACUUUCUCCUCAGAUAGAAACAUCAGACAGACAGGGUGUGGUGGAAUAGGAGUGAGUGGAGGCUCCGAAUGAAAAACAAGGAACUGUGUUCUACCAAAUUACUCCCGUGAAAUUGGAGAAGGCGCUCCCACAAAAUGGACUAAAGAAAUGGGGUCAACGAUCUCAGCCUGAGCCCCGUGAAUGCGUUCAAAGAGGGGAUGAAGCAAAGAACAAACAAGUGCUGGAAAAGAAACGGACAGGGAGUCUGCUGAGAAGAAAAAAGGAGCUGUGUCCUGUGGCUGGCACCCAGACAGGCUGGUUUGGACUCCCAUUCAUGCAACCAGCCUCCUACCCAUAUCCACAUCACUCCGGUCACUUAAAGAGCUUCAACAAGGCUCCAUCUCCAUCACCACCAGCGUCUAGACUCGAGGUGGGGGUCCUGUCCUAGUUUCUGUUAUUUCAUCAAAAUCUAAUUGCCAUUACUGAAAUGACGUAUCUCAAGAAAUCAUUAUUAAUUAUUUCAAAUGAACUGUCUUAACUGAUCUACCAUUAGUAACAGUAACAUACAAACAUGAAGAUGCGCGUUUGAAUGUCAGCUUGCAACAGAAAUACAGAUUACCUCCUAAUAUUUGGGGAAAAAGACAUGUUUGUUCUCUAAACCUUCCUAUAACUGCUGUACCUACUUCAUGCAUUUAUUACUACCAGGCUGGACUAUUGUAAUUCAUUAUUAUCAGGCUGCCCCAAAAACUCCCUCCAAAAUAUGUCAGCAACAGGGACUAGAAAGAGAGACCAGAUUUCUCCUGCAUUGGCUUCGCUGCAUUGGCUUUCAUUUAAAAUCAUUCUGACAUACAAGGUCUACAAUAACCUGGUUUCAUCUUCUCUUAUAAACCACAUAGUACCACAUCACACCAUCAAAGCACUUUGCUCUCAGAGUGCAGGCUAACUUGUGCUUCCCUGGGUAUUUAAAAGUCGAAUGGGCAGCAGAUUCUGGAGACAGAUAGUCUUUCUACUUUUAGAUGAAAACUUCCCUUUUUGACAAAGAAUAUAGUUAGUGCUAAUCAGGUAAUCCUGAAUCCUCCCUUAGCUACACUGCAAUGGAUCUCUUUUUGCUUCACUCACUUCUUUUGACUUUCUUUUGACUUGUUUAUGCACCAUUCUAGAUUUACUGGCUCUCUUCCACAGAGUAUGUAUAUAUUUUUCCCGUUUCCCUCCUCUCACCCCCAACUGGUCAUA